This 301-nucleotide ribosomal RNA is filed under the name uncultured Pyrobaculum sp. Its description in RNAcentral is "bacterial SSU rRNA". It matches the Rfam family "Bacterial small subunit ribosomal RNA", at positions 495 to 795 of the family's 1533-position model. The record is from RNAcentral. Lineage: Archaea; Thermoproteati; Thermoproteota; Thermoprotei; Thermoproteales; Thermoproteaceae.
UGUUGAAGCUGGGGCGGGAGCUGGGGUAAGACGGAGGGUGGAAACGUGUUUCGGAAGUACUGGGCGUAAAGCGCGGGUAGGCUGGCUGGAAAGUCGGAGUGGAAAGCCCUGGGCGCAACCGAGGAAGUGCAUUCGAAACGUAGAGACUCGAGUCCUGGAGAGGAUCGCGGAAUGCGCGGUGUAGAGGUGAAAGUCGUAGAUAGCGAGAGGAACACCGGUGGCGAAGGCGGCGAUCUGGACAGUGACUGACGCUGAGACGCGAAAGCGUGGGGAGCAAACAGGAUUAGAUACCCGGGUAGUC